CGAAUCUUCCGCAAUGCGCGAAAGCGUGACGGAGCAAUGCCGCGUGCAGGAUGAAGCCCCUCGGGGUGUAAACUGCUGUCAGGUGUCAGUAAGCAAGUGAACAGCACCAAAGGAAGGGCCGGCUAACUUCGUGCCAGCAGCCGCGGUAAUACGAAGGGCCCAAGCGUUAAGCGGAAUCACUGGGCUUAAAGCGUACGUAGGCGGGUGUGUAAGCAUCUUGUGAAAUCCCUCGGCUCAACCGAGGAAUUGCAGGGUGAACUGCACAUCUUGAGGUCGGUAGGGGUCGUCGGAACGCUGGGUGGAGCGGUGAAAUGCGUAGAUAUCCAGCGGAACGCCAAAGGUGAAGACAGGCGACUGGGCCGAUUCUGACGCUGAGGUACGAAAGCGUGGGGAGCGAAC
This 399-nucleotide ribosomal RNA is filed under the name uncultured bacterium. RNAcentral describes it as "bacterial SSU rRNA". It matches the Rfam family "Bacterial small subunit ribosomal RNA", at positions 358 to 773 of the family's 1533-position model. The record is from RNAcentral.